Triticum urartu is the source of this 126-nucleotide non-coding RNA. NCBI's taxonomy places the organism in Eukaryota, Viridiplantae, Streptophyta, Magnoliopsida, Poales, Poaceae. The record is from Rfam.
ACAAUACUCCCUCCGUUCAGAAAAACCUGUCCAUCAAAUGGAUGUAUCUAGCACCAAGUUAGUGCUAAAUACAUCCAUUUGAUGGACAAGCUUGGGACAAGCUUUUCCGGACGGAGGGAGUACUAU